RNAcentral lists this ribosomal RNA (253 nucleotides) under uncultured bacterium. Its description in RNAcentral is "partial 16S ribosomal RNA". It matches the Rfam family "Bacterial small subunit ribosomal RNA", at positions 524 to 776 of the family's 1533-position model. The record is from RNAcentral.
UACAGAGGUCCCAAGCGUUGUUCGGAUUCACUGGGCGUAAAGGGUGCGUAGGUGGUGGGGUAAGUCGGAUGUGAAAUCUCCGAGCUCAACUCGGAAAUGGCAUUGGAAACUACCCUGCUAGAGGGUCGGAGGGGGGACUGGAAUGCUUGGUGUAGCAGUGAAAUGCGUAGAGAUCCGGAGGAACACCAGUGGCGAAGGCGACACGCUGGGCCAUACCUGACGCUAAAGCGCGACAGCAUGGGGAGCAAACGGG